GAAGGAAUGAAGGUAUUGUCAUAAAAUAAGAUAAGCAGCCUCAGAAUCCCUCUGCAGUUCCCUCUCAAAAGCCACAGAACAGUUUACCUCUCCAUUUCAAGCAGUAACAGUUUCCUUUCAGCUUACAUAUUUUAUUACAGUAUACAGCCAGUCCUGGAAAGGGUAGCCAGGGAGGUUGUGUCAUCAGAGAGAAAUCAGGUCUUCAUGAUAGCCAGAAGAUGGAAAGAGUAAGAAGCGAAAAGAUUUACAAUGAAAUCAAGUUUAUUUUCUACGAUUUAGGCAGUCCAGAGGACUCAAUGAAAAGGAGAGAGGCAAAUGAAGGCAUUCUUGAUCUCCUGAAAGAUAACCUCCUCUUGCCAUAUAACUUGGAAGCUUUUAGCUUUUGUAUGAACUAUGGAUCCCUUGUAUUAUAAAUCUCUGCUGGAAUGGAAUCAUCACCAUGUAUUUUGCCACAUAAGAGGAGCCUAAUGGAAUUCAAAAUCACUUCAAUAUUUGAAGUUCAGCCACAGAGGGAUUGACCUCAACAUGAGAUAUACAAUCAAUGAUUUCAAUAUUGGUUGAUGACAUCCUAUAGAGAACACGAUGGGAGUAUUCAGCCUAAUAUCCUUAUCACUGAUCAGUGUGACUCCAUUUAACAUUGAGUAGGUGAAAUAUGCCAUAGGUUAGGGUUAAGGUUAGAGUUAGGGUUAGGGUUUAGGGUUAAUUGCUUUCAGAACAUCAUAGAAACAUUCUAGAUUGUUAAUCAGACUGAAUUUCAUCUGCCUUCUUACUGAGCCAAGGAUCCUACAUCUUUCUAAGCUUUGUUCUUAGAGACAGAUGAACUAUCCUGCUGGCAAACCCUAUGAGUUCUUGUUUUUCAUUUAGUAGCUUCUGAAUUUUCCCUUUAUUUUUAUUAAACCAAUUGUAAUGUCUGAGAAUAUACUUGCCUAGAUGAGUAAAUGUGGGGCUGUAUAACAAAUUUCUGAAAAUUGCCCUUUCCUUUUCUGCUCCAAUGUUGUCAUACUUGUGUUGACUCAGUUUUCCUUCCAAGUCACAAAUUGUUUGAGAAUGGAGACACUCUCUCAUUUGUUCACAUUGUCUUCUGGUAGUUGUAUUGCUUUGAGACCACCACUUUCAUUGAAUGUAAAUGUUAACUUUGAGAAAAUAAGUGUAUGAUCUGUCCAACACUCUGCACUACACAAAGUCUUUAUUACUCUCACAUCCUAUCUGUCUUUUCUCCUUGCAAAGACAUAUUCAAUAAAUACCAGUUUGUUGCAAGAGUGAA
Molecule: long non-coding RNA, 1264 nt
Filed under: Monodelphis domestica (gray short-tailed opossum)
Lineage: Eukaryota; Metazoa; Chordata; Mammalia; Didelphimorphia; Didelphidae
Description: lncRNA (ENSMODG00000034472.2)
Source: RNAcentral